UUUGAACGCUGGCGGCAUGCCUUACACAUGCAAGUCGAACGGUAACAGGUCUUCGGAUGCUGACGAGUGGCGAACGGGUGAGUAAUACAUCGGAACGUGCCCGAUCGUGGGGGAUAACGAAGCGAAAGCUUUGCUAAUACCGCAUAAGAUCUACGGAUGAAAGCAGGGGACCGCAAGGCCUUGCGCGAACGGAGAGGCCGAUGGCAGAUUAGGUAGUUGGUGGGAUAAAAGCUUACCAAGCCGACGAUCUGUAGCUGGUCUGAGAGGACGACCAGCCACACUGGGACUGAGACACGGCCCAGACUCCUACGGGAGGCAGCAGUGGGGAAUUUUGGACAAUGGGCGAAAGCCUGAUCCAGCCAUGCCGCGUGCAGGAUGAAGGCCUUCGGGUUGUAAACUGCUUUUGUACGGAACGAAAAGACUCUGGUUAAUACCUGGGGUCCAUGACGGUACCGUAAGAAUAAGCACCGGCUAACUACGUG
RNAcentral lists this ribosomal RNA (482 nucleotides) under uncultured bacterium. RNAcentral's name for it is "partial 16S ribosomal RNA". It matches the Rfam family "Bacterial small subunit ribosomal RNA", at positions 30 to 507 of the family's 1533-position model. The record is from RNAcentral.